RNAcentral lists this ribosomal RNA (820 nucleotides) under Serinicoccus sp. WS_22M. RNAcentral's name for it is "bacterial SSU rRNA". It matches the Rfam family "Bacterial small subunit ribosomal RNA", at positions 674 to 1477 of the family's 1533-position model. The record is from RNAcentral. Lineage: Bacteria; Bacillati; Actinomycetota; Actinomycetes; Micrococcales; Ornithinimicrobiaceae.
UGUAGCGGUGGAAUGCGCAGAUAUCAGGAGGAACACCGAUGGCGAAGGCAGGUCUCUGGGCCAUGACUGACGCUGAGAAGCGAAAGCGUGGGGAGCGAACAGGAUUAGAUACCCUGGUAGUCCACGCUGUAAACGUUGGGCGCUAGGUGUGGGUCCCAUUCCACGGGGUCCGUGCCGCAGCUAACGCAUUAAGCGCCCCGCCUGGGGAGUACGGCCGCAAGGCUAAAACUCAAAGGAAUUGACGGGGGCCCGCACAAGCGGCGGAGCAUGCGGAUUAAUUCGAUGCAACGCGAAGAACCUUACCAAGGCUUGACAUACACCGGACGACUGCAGAGAUGUGGUUUCCCUUUGUGGCUGGUGUACAGGUGGUGCAUGGUUGUCGUCAGCUCGUGUCGUGAGAUGUUGGGUUAAGUCCCGCAACGAGCGCAACCCUCGUUCCAUGUUGCCAGCAACACCUUUUGGGUGGUUGGGGACUCAUGGGAGACUGCCGGGGUCAACUCGGAGGAAGGUGGGGAUGACGUCAAAUCAUCAUGCCCCUUACGUCUUGGGCUUCACGCAUGCUACAAUGGCCGGUACAAAGGGCUGCGAUCCCGUGAGGGGGAGCGAAUCCCAGAAAGCCGGUCUCAGUUCGGAUUGGGGUCUGCAACUCGACCCCAUGAAGUCGGAGUCGCUAGUAAUCGCAGAUCAGCAACGCUGCGGUGAAUACGUUCCCGGGCCUUGUACACACCGCCCGUCAAGUCACGAAAGUCGGUAACACCCGAAGCCGGUGAGCCUCAACUCCUUGUGGAGGGAGCUUCGUAGAAGUGAGAUCCAAUGCCCC